GUACUGAUGAAGAGUCCCAAACUAGGGCGACGAAACAGCUGUCCAGUAU
Trichobilharzia regenti is the source of this 49-nucleotide non-coding RNA. NCBI's taxonomy places the organism in Eukaryota, Metazoa, Platyhelminthes, Trematoda, Strigeidida, Schistosomatidae. The record is from Rfam.